Molecule: ribosomal RNA, 882 nt
Filed under: Zasmidium citrigriseum
Lineage: Eukaryota; Fungi; Ascomycota; Dothideomycetes; Mycosphaerellales; Mycosphaerellaceae
Description: eukaryotic LSU rRNA
Rfam family: Eukaryotic large subunit ribosomal RNA
Source: RNAcentral
CUAGCAUAUCAAUAAGCGGAGGAAAAGAAACCAACAGGGAUUGCCCUAGUAACGGCGAGUGAAGCGGCAACAGCUCAAAUUUGAAACCUGGCGCUUGCGUCCGGAUUGUAAUUUGUAGAGGAUGCUUCUGGGCAGCGGCCGUUCUAAGUUCCUUGGAACAGGACGUCAUAGAGGGUGAGAAUCCCGUAUGUGACCGGCGCGCACCCUCCACGUAGCUCCUUCGACGAGUCGAGUUGUUUGGGAAUGCAGCUCUAAAUGGGAGGUAAAUUUCUUCUAAAGCUAAAUAUUGGCCAGAGACCGAUAGCGCACAAGUAGAGUGAUCGAAAGAUGAAAAGCACUUUGGAAAGAGAGUUAAAAAGCACGUGAAAUUGUUGAAAGGGAAGCGCUUCCAACCAGACUCCGCGGCGGUGUUCCGCCGGUCUUCUGACCGGUCCACUCGCCGCCGUGGGGCCAACAUCGUCUGGGGCCGCCGGAUAAGACCGGAGGAAUGUAGCUCAUUGAGUGUUAUAGCCUCCGGUGAUGCGGCGCGUCCCGGGCGAGGUCCGCGCUUCGGCAAGGAUGUUGGCGUAAUGGUUGGCAGCGGCCCGUCUUGAAACACGGACCAAGGAGUCUAACAUCUAUGCGAGUGUUCGGGUGUCAAACCCCUACGCGUAAUGAAAGUGAACGGAGGUGGGAGCUUCGGCGCACCAUCGACCGAUCCUGAUGUCCUCGGAUGGAUUUGAGUAAGAGCAUAGCUGUUGGGACCCGAAAGAUGGUGAACUAUGCCUGAAUAGGGUGAAGCCAGAGGAAACUCUGGUGGAGGCUCGCAGCGGUUCUGACGUGCAAAUCGAUCGUCAAAUUUGGGUAUAGGGGCGAAAGACUAAUCGAUCCAUCUUGUCUGUC